Molecule: ribosomal RNA, 489 nt
Filed under: uncultured bacterium
Lineage: Bacteria
Description: partial 16S ribosomal RNA
Rfam family: Bacterial small subunit ribosomal RNA
Source: RNAcentral
AGUGAACGCUGGCGGUAGGCCUAACACAUGCAAGUCGAACGGCAGCACAGGAGAGCUUGCUCUCUAGGUGGCGAGUGGCGGACGGGUGAGGAAUACAUCGGAAUCUGCCCAGUCGUGGGGGAUAACGUAGGGAAACUUACGCUAAUACCGCAUACGACCUUCGGGUGAAAGAGGGGGAUCGCAAGACCUCUCGCGAUUGGAUGAGCCGAUGUCGGAUUAGCUAGUUAGCGGGGUAAUGGCCCACCAAGGCGACGAUCCGUAGCUGGUCUGAGAGGAUGAGCAGCCACUCUGGAACUGAGACCCGGUCCAGACCCCUACGGGGGGCAGCAGUGGGGAAUUUUGGCCAAUGGGCGCAAGCCUGACCCAGCCAUCCCGGGGGGGUGAAGAGGGCCUUCGGGUUUUAAGGCCCUUUUGUUGGGAAAAAAAUUUUUCAGGCUAAUCCCCUGGGGGGAUGCCGGUACCCAAAGAAUAACCCCCGCCUACCCCCGG